UACGGGGGAUGCAAGCGUUAUCCGGAAUCAUUGGGCGUAAAGCGCCUGUAGGUUGUUUAGUAAGUCUGUUGUUAAAGACCAGGGCUUAACCCUGGGAAAGCAAUGGAAACUACUAGACUUGAGUAUGGCAGGGGUAGAGGGAAUUUCUAGUGUAGCGGUGAAAUGCGUAGAUAUUAGAAAGAACACCGGCGGCGAAAGCGCUCUACUGGACCAUUACUGACACUCAGAGGCGAAAGCUAGGGGAGCAAAAGGGAUUAGAUACCCCUGUAGUCCUAGCCGUAAACGAUGGAUACUAGAUGUUGUGCGUAGUGUACAGUGUCCUAGCUAACGCGUUAAGUAUCCCGCCUGGGGAGUACGCUCGCAAGGGUG
Molecule: ribosomal RNA, 369 nt
Filed under: uncultured phototrophic eukaryote
Lineage: Eukaryota
Description: SSU rRNA
Rfam family: Bacterial small subunit ribosomal RNA
Source: RNAcentral